RNAcentral lists this ribosomal RNA (492 nucleotides) under uncultured bacterium. RNAcentral describes it as "partial 16S ribosomal RNA". It matches the Rfam family "Bacterial small subunit ribosomal RNA", at positions 29 to 507 of the family's 1533-position model. The record is from RNAcentral.
AGUGAACGCUGGCGGUAGGCCUAACACAUGCAAGUCGAACGGCAGCACAGUAAGAGCUUGCUCUUACGGGUGGCGAGUGGCGGAUGGGUGAGGAAUACAUCGGAAUCUACUUUUUCGUGGGGGAUAACGUAGGGAAACUUACGCUAAUACCGCAUACGACCUACGGGUGAAAGCAGGGGAUCUUCGGACCUUGCGUGAUUGAAUGAGCCGAUGUCGGAUUAGCUAGUUGGCGGGGUAAAGGCCCACCAAGGCGACGAUCCGUAGCUGGUCUGAGAGGAUGAUCAGCCACACUGGAACUGAGACACGGUCCAGACUCCUACGGGAGGCAGCAGUGGGGAAUAUUGGACAAUGGGCGCAAGCCUGAUCCAGCCAUACCGCGUGGGUGAAGAAGGCCUUCGGGUUGUAAAGCCCUUUUGUUGGGAAAGAAAAGCAGCAGGAUAAUACCCCGCUGUUCUGACGGUACCCAAAGAAUAAGCACCGGCUAACUUCGUG